Oncorhynchus kisutch (coho salmon) is the source of this 619-nucleotide long non-coding RNA. RefSeq lists it as uncharacterized. The transcript has 2 exons. NCBI's taxonomy places the organism in Eukaryota, Metazoa, Chordata, Actinopteri, Salmoniformes, Salmonidae. The record is from RefSeq and is a predicted model, not a curated record.
GUUUUUCUAUAAUAAAGUGACCAACCAUACUGGUUAAAUCUCCCCUGUCUCCUCAAAGACUGUGCACUUGCAAUGACAUUGCGACUAUGUACUGCUGCCAACCUCCUCGGGCGCCGCCGUUUUGUUCCUUCUGAAUUCAUCUUUCACAUACUGGUCUCCCAGCGCUCUCAAAUCCAUGGGCAGGAACUAGUGCAACAGCAAAAUCCUCUUGUACAAUGAGCAAACUCUCGAUACAUGGGAAGGUUUCGCCAUAAAGUCGUUGGGUUUGGUCUGAAAGAGGGGAAUGAAGAUCACACUUUCACCUGUACUCUUUGUGUCUGUGCUGUGUAUAGAAUUGAUGUAUAUCCAACACUUUGUUUACUCAGACCCUAGCACUGUAGAACCUGCUGUUUUCUCACUGGGUAACCCCAGUGGAGAUCAUUAUGACAGCAGGGUUCCAAGACACAUGCACCCAGGUACUUGACUUCUGAAUAUCAAUUCACUGCAUUUUGUUCGUUUGACAAGUGCAAUGUACUUGUCUGUUUUUAACGUGAAGCUCUUUUAUAGCCAACUGACAAAUUGCAUAAUUAAGAUUUGUUUUUGUAAAGCUGUAAGGAAUAAUUAAAGGAUACAGUUACUA